AGAACGAACGCUGGCGGCAUGCCUAACACAUGCAAGUCGAACGAGACCUUCGGGUCUAGUGGCGCACGGGUGCGUAACGCGUGGGAAUCUGCCCUUGGGUUCGGGAUAACAGUUGGAAACGACUGCUAAUACCGGAUGAUGUCUUCGGACCAAAGAUUUAUCGCCCAGGGAUGAGCCCGCGUAGGAUUAGCUUGUUGGUGAGGUAAGAGCUCACCAAGGCGACGAUCCUUAGCUGGUCUGAGAGGAUGAUCAGCCACACUGGGACUGAGACACGGCCCAGACCUCCUACGGGAGGCAGCAGUGGGGAAUAUUGGACAUGGGCGAAAGCCUGAUCCAGCAAUGCCGCGUGAGUGAUGAAGGUCCUUAGGGUUGUAAAGCUUCGUUUACCCGGGAUGAUAAUGACACGGUACCGGAGAAUAACGCCCCGACUAACUCCGCGCCA
This 442-nucleotide ribosomal RNA is filed under the name uncultured soil bacterium. RNAcentral's name for it is "bacterial SSU rRNA". It matches the Rfam family "Bacterial small subunit ribosomal RNA", at positions 26 to 510 of the family's 1533-position model. The record is from RNAcentral.